AGGACGAACGCUGGCGGCGUGCCUAACACAUGCAAGUCGAGCGGAGUUAACAAGAGGAAGUUUCGGAUGGAAUUUGUAAUUAGCGGCGGACGGGUGAGUAACGCGUGAGCGACCAACCUUGCACAGGGGGAUAACGGACCGAAAGGUUCACUAAUACCGCAUGAGACCACGGUGUUGCAUGACACAGAGGUCAAAGGAGCAAUCCGGUGCAAGACGGGCUCGCGUCCGAUUAGGUAGUUGGUGGGGUAAUGGCCCCACCAAGCCUAUGAUCGGUAGCCGACCUGAGAGGGUGAUCGGCCACAUUGGAACUGAGAUACGGUCCAAACUCCUACGGGAGGCAGCAGUGGGGAAUAUUGGGCAAUGGGGGGAAAAACCCCUGACCCAGCAACGCCGCGUGAAGGAAGAAGGUUUUCGGAUUGUAAACUUCUGUCCUUGGUGAAGAGAAGAAGACGGUAGCCAAGGAGGAAGCCCCGGCUAACUACGUGCCAGCCGCAGC
Molecule: ribosomal RNA, 496 nt
Filed under: uncultured bacterium
Lineage: Bacteria
Description: bacterial SSU rRNA
Rfam family: Bacterial small subunit ribosomal RNA
Source: RNAcentral